CCUACGGGAGGCAGCAGUGAGGAAUAUUGGUCAAUGGCCGAGAGGCUGAACCAGCCAAGUCGCGUGCGGGAUGAAUGUCCUAUGGAUUGUAAACUUCUUUUGUCAGGGAGUAAAGUCACCCACGUGUGGGUGUUUGAGAGUACCUUAAGAAUAAGGAUCGGCUAACUCCGUGCCAGCAGCCGCGGUAAUACGGAGGAUGCGAGCGUUAUCCGGAUUUAUUGGGUUUAAAGGGUGCGUGGGCGGGUUAUCAAGUCAGCGGUAAAAUAGUGGAGCUCAACUCCAUCCAGCCGUUGAAACUGAUGAUCUUGAGUGGGCGAGAGGUAUGCGGAAUGCGUGGUGUAGCGGUGAAAUGCAUAGAUAUCACGCAGAACUCCGAUUGCGAAGGCAGCAUACCGGAGCCCGACUGACGCUGAAGCACGAAAGCGUGGGUAUCGAACAGGAUUAGAUACCCUAGUAGUC
Molecule: ribosomal RNA, 459 nt
Filed under: uncultured bacterium
Lineage: Bacteria
Description: partial 16S ribosomal RNA
Rfam family: Bacterial small subunit ribosomal RNA
Source: RNAcentral